CGAAACCUGCCCAGCAGAACGACCCGUGAACAUGUGAUGCCCCCAGGUUGCGCCGGACGGUCGACGGUCGUCGAAAGCCGCCCCUGCCCGGAAAAAAAUGAACCCCCGACGCGGACCGCGCCAAGGAAAACGAACAAUGGAUCGGGCGCCCCGAGAGGACGCGCCCCCCGAAAUCUCAA
This 179-nucleotide ribosomal RNA is filed under the name Corydalis solida (bird-in-a-bush). The record is from RNAcentral. Lineage: Eukaryota; Viridiplantae; Streptophyta; Magnoliopsida; Ranunculales; Papaveraceae.